UACGGAAGGCAGCAGUGGGGAAUAUUGCACAAUGGGCGAAAGCCUGAUGCAGCUAUGCCGCGUGUAUGAAGAAGGCCUUAGGGUUGUAAAGUACUUUCAUCGGGGAGGAAAAAACAAAACUAAUAAUUUUAUUUCUUGACGUUACCCGAAAAAGAAGCACCGGCUAACUCCGUGCCAGCAGCCGCGGUAAUACGGAGGGUGCUAGCGUUAAUCAGAAUUACUGGGCGUAAAGAGCACGUAGGUGGUUUUUUUAAGUCAGAUGUGAAAUCCCUGGGCUUAACCUAGGAACUGCAUUUUGAAACUGAAAUACUAGAAGUAUCGUAGAGGGAGGUAGAAUUCUAGGUGUAGCGGUGAAAUGCGUAGAUAUCUGGAGGAAUACCUGUGGCGAAAGCGGCCUCCUAAACGAAAUACUGACACUGAGGUGCGAAAGCGUGGGGA
This 438-nucleotide ribosomal RNA is filed under the name uncultured bacterium. RNAcentral describes it as "bacterial SSU rRNA". It matches the Rfam family "Bacterial small subunit ribosomal RNA", at positions 340 to 767 of the family's 1533-position model. The record is from RNAcentral.